This 253-nucleotide ribosomal RNA is filed under the name uncultured bacterium. RNAcentral's name for it is "partial 16S ribosomal RNA". It matches the Rfam family "Bacterial small subunit ribosomal RNA", at positions 524 to 776 of the family's 1533-position model. The record is from RNAcentral.
UACGGGGGGGGCAAGCGUUGUUCGGAAUUACUGGGCGUAAAGGGCUCGUAGGCGGCCAACUAAGUCAGACGUGAAAUCCCUCGGCUUAACCGGGGAACUGCGUCUGAUACUGGAUGGCUUGAGUUCGGGAGAGGGAUGUGGAAUUCCAGGUGUAGCGGUGAAAUGCGUAGAUAUCAGGAGGAACACCGGUGGCGAAGGCGGGUCUCUGGGCCGAUACUGACGCUGAGGAGCGAAAGCGUGGGGAGCGAACAGG